This 380-nucleotide long non-coding RNA is filed under the name Salmo salar (Atlantic salmon). Its description in RNAcentral is "lncRNA (ENSSSAG00000102226.1)". The record is from RNAcentral. Lineage: Eukaryota; Metazoa; Chordata; Actinopteri; Salmoniformes; Salmonidae.
AAUUCAUUUCAACACUUGUCUUCAUUUGAAUUCGACUUCACUAACAACAAUAGGGCUUUGUUGGAGCCUUUGUUGGAGUCCAAGGGCAGGUGGUUGAAGAAUGCCUUGCUUGGCUAAACAAGGAUUUUUCUAGCUGAAGUAUAUGUUCAUUAAAAGUAGUUAAACCUACACCCCGGUUUGUCAUUAUACAAGGAACAAACAUAACAGUUGCAAAGUAGCUGAAAAGCAUAGGUUCUUCACAGGUGAGAAAGGAUGGACAUUAAAGGACACACAAAUAAAACAUGUGGUUUCACAGAUGUUAUGGCAAUAGUGACCUUGGAUGGAAUCUAAAGCAUGGAAGGGAUCAUUUGAUCAGUGUGAGCUUCACCCCCUCUAACCGG